GCAGCAGCCGCGGGAAUACAGAGGGUGCGAGCGUUAAUCGGAUUUACUGGGCGUAAAGCGUGCGUAGGCGGCUUCUUAAGUCGGAUGUGAAAUCCCUGAGCUUAACUUAGGAAUUGCAUUCGAUACUGGGAAGCUAGAGUAUGGGAGAGGAUGGUAGAAUUCCAGGUGUAGCGGUGAAAUGCGUAGAGAUCUGGAGGAAUACCGAUGGCGAAGGCAGCCAUCUGGCCUAAUACUGACGCUGAGGUACGAAAGCAUGGGGAGCAAACAGGAUUAGAUACCCCGGUAGUCCCUGUCUCUUAUAA
RNAcentral lists this ribosomal RNA (302 nucleotides) under uncultured bacterium. Its description in RNAcentral is "partial 16S ribosomal RNA". It matches the Rfam family "Bacterial small subunit ribosomal RNA", at positions 508 to 809 of the family's 1533-position model. The record is from RNAcentral.